UGGGGAAUAUUGCACAAUGGAGGGAACUCUGAUGCAGCGACGCCGCGUGAGUGAUGAAGGAAUUCGUUUCGUAAAACUCUGUUCUAUGGGAAGAAAAGGACUGUACCAUAGGAGAAAGCUCCGGCUAAAUAUGUGCCAGCAGCCGCGGUAAUACGUAUGGAGCGAGCGUUGUCCGGAAUUAUUGGGCGUAAAGGGUGCGCAGGCGGCUUUACAAGUUGGAUGUGAAAUAUUGUGGCUCAACCACAAACGUGCAUCCAAAACUGCAAAGCUUGAGUGAAGGAGAGGUAAGUGGAAUUCCUGGUGUAGCGGUGGAAUGCGUAGAUAGCAGGAGGAAUACCGGUGGCGAAGGCGACUUACUGGACUUAAACUGACGCUCAGGCACGAAAGCGUUGGGAGCAAACAGG
Molecule: ribosomal RNA, 404 nt
Filed under: Fusobacteriota bacterium
Lineage: Bacteria; Fusobacteriati; Fusobacteriota
Description: Fusobacteria bacterium partial 16S ribosomal RNA
Rfam family: Bacterial small subunit ribosomal RNA
Source: RNAcentral